Molecule: ribosomal RNA, 542 nt
Filed under: Lasiodiplodia jatrophicola
Lineage: Eukaryota; Fungi; Ascomycota; Dothideomycetes; Botryosphaeriales; Botryosphaeriaceae
Description: eukaryotic LSU rRNA
Rfam family: 5.8S ribosomal RNA (bases 168-321)
Source: RNAcentral
UCCGUAGGUGAACCUGCGGAAGGAUCAUUACCGAGUUUUCGGGCUUCGGCUCGACUCUCCCACCCUUUGUGAACGUACCUCUGUUGCUUUGGCGGCUCCGGCCGCCAAAGGACCUCCAAACUCCAGUCAGUAAACGCAGACGUCUGAUAAACAAGUUAAUAAACUAAAACUUUCAACAACGGAUCUCUUGGUUCUGGCAUCGAUGAAGAACGCAGCGAAAUGCGAUAAGUAAUGUGAAUUGCAGAAUUCAGUGAAUCAUCGAAUCUUUGAACGCACAUUGCGCCCCUUGGUAUUCCGGGGGGCAUGCCUGUUCGAGCGUCAUUACAACCCUCAAGCUCUGCUUGGAAUUGGGCACCGUCCUCACUGCGGACGCGCCUCGAAGACCUCGGCGGUGGCUGUUCAGCCCUCAAGCGUAGUAGAAUACACCUCGCUUUGGAGUGGUUGGCGUCGCCCGCCGGACGAACCUUCUGAACUUUUCUCAAGGUUGACCUCGGAUCAGGUAGGGAUACCCGCUGAACUUAAGCAUAUCAAUAAGCGGAGGA